AUUGAACGCUGGCGGCAUGCCUUACACAUGCAAGUCGAACGGUAACAGGUUAAGCUGACGCGUGGCGAACGGGUGAGUAAUGUAUCGGAACGUGGUCAGUAGCGGGCGAUAACUCCGCGGAAGAGCAGCUAAUACCGCAUACGACACGACGUAGAAAUCGGUGGCGCACGAGACCUCGCGCGAUUGGACAAGUCGAUAUCAAAUUAGGGAGUUGGUGAGGUAAAGGCUCACCAGGCCGAUAACCUGUAGCUGAGCUGAGGGGACGACCAGCCACACGGGGGCUGAGACACGCCCCAGACUCCUCCGGGAGGCAGCAGUGGGGAAUUUUGGACAAUGGGCGCAAGCCUGAUCCAGCCAGGCCGGGGGCGGGAAGAAGUCCUUCGGGUUGUAAACCGUUUUUGUCAGGAAAGAAGAGUUUCUGGCUAAUACCUGGGAAUCAUGACGGUACCUUACGAAUAAGCAACGGCUAACUACGUG
This 477-nucleotide ribosomal RNA is filed under the name uncultured bacterium. Its description in RNAcentral is "partial 16S ribosomal RNA". It matches the Rfam family "Bacterial small subunit ribosomal RNA", at positions 30 to 507 of the family's 1533-position model. The record is from RNAcentral.